RNAcentral lists this ribosomal RNA (254 nucleotides) under uncultured microorganism. Its description in RNAcentral is "partial 16S ribosomal RNA". It matches the Rfam family "Archaeal small subunit ribosomal RNA", at positions 474 to 727 of the family's 1478-position model. The record is from RNAcentral.
UACCGGCGGCCCGAGUGGUGGCCGCUAUUAUUGGGUCUAAAGCGUCCGUAGCCGGCUUGGCAAGUCCCCUGGGAAAUCUGGCGGCUUAACCGUCAGGCGUCCAGAGGAUACUGCCAGGCUUGGGACCGGGAGAGGUGAGAGGUACCUCAGGGGUAGGGGUGAAAUCUUGUGAUCCCUGAGGGACCACCAGUGGCGAAGGCGUCUCACUAGAACGGGUCCGACGGUCAGGGACGAAAGCUGGGGGCACGAACCGG